UGCCAGCACCAUGUGAUGGGAGCUCCAGGGCAUGCUGUGUGCUCGCCAGGAGGGGCUGGGCAAGAUGGCGUAGUCGCUGGAGCAGCUGCGGGCGCGGCACCGCCGCUCUCACCCUGGCGGAGUGCAGCAACACAGUGGGGUGGCACCAGCGGGACACUCUGGACAACGCAGCCAAGGCUGUUGCCCCGCUCGCCCGACUCGUUGAGAGGUUGGCCACCCCCCAGGGCGUUGUCGUGAAGAUACCGCUGGGAGGAAGAAUAUCUCACAAUACUGGAAGAGGCGGUGGUGUUGCAAGCCUGUAAUCCAGCAGUGGAAGGCAGCAAGGGACGGCUCCUGGUUCGUCAUCCCCAUAUCUUCGGCAGUCGCAGGCUGGAGGUGCUGAUGGAGCCGAGGGAGCCGACAGAGCCGAGGAGAGGAGGCCGUGAUGGCGGGAAGGAGGCUGUGAUACACUGACUCAUCUUACACUGCCUCACUCACACAACAUACACUGACUCAGUCAUACAUCUUACACUCACACAACCACUGACCCAUUCACUGAUCAUACACAAUUCACUCAUCAUACACUCACUCAUCAUACGUUGACUCACUCAUUAUACACUCACUCACACUCUCACUGACUCACUCACUCAUCUUACACUGACUCAGUCACUCAACAUACACUGACUCAGUCAUACAUCUUACACUCACUCACACAACCACUGACCCAUUCACUCAUCAUACACAAUUCACUCAUCAUACACUCACUCAUCAUACGUUGACUCACUCAUCAUACACUCACUCACACUCUCACUGACUCACUCACACAUCAUACACUAACUCAUCAUAUGCUGACUCACACAUCAUACACAAGGAGUGUCAUGCUGCCAGCUAUGGCUACAAGUUCGGUCGUACAUGUUAUGUAUAUCGUUUAUUGUUAAAUUAAGAAUCACAGUUCCUAUGGUUACUGUUACAUUGUUUUUAUAGCUUUAUUUUGGUGAUUUAGAAAACAUAUGGUUAAUCUAAAUUGUCUUAUGGUUGUUUGUUGUUUGACUUGCAUCACACUGUGAUUUGUGCCCACAGUGUUGUAAUACGUUUUUUUUGGAAGAUUUGCUGGUUUAUCGAGGAUGUUUCUUUUCUCUGUUCAUAUUUUGUUUGUUGCGGUUGCACCCGACUUAAGAGCCGCAUGGCUCACAGGGCUA
Long non-coding RNA from Lethenteron reissneri (Far Eastern brook lamprey), 1178 nucleotides. RefSeq lists it as uncharacterized. The record is from RefSeq and is a predicted model, not a curated record. Lineage: Eukaryota; Metazoa; Chordata; Hyperoartia; Petromyzontiformes; Petromyzontidae.